UAAUGGUUAUGUAAAUGAUGGUGUUAAUUAUGGUGUUGAUGAGUGAGUGGAUGAUGUAAAAUGAUGGUGUAAAUGAUGGUGUUAAUAAAUAAAUAAUGGUGUAGAUGAUAAUGAUGGUGGUAAUGAUGGUGUAAAUGAGUAAAUGAUGGUGUGAGGUGAUGGUGUUAAUGAUGGUGUUAUUGAUGGUGGUAAUGAGUGAGUGAUGGUGGUAAUGAUGGUGGUAGUGAUGGUGUGGGUGAUGGGGGUUAAUGAUGGUGGUAGUGAUGGUGUUAAUGAGGUGAGUGAUGGUGUAAAUGGUGGUAGUGAUGGUGUUAAUGAUGGGUGUGGGGAUGGUGGUAGUGAUGUGGUAAUGAUGGUGGUAGUGAUGGUGUUAAUGAGUGAGUGAUGGUGUAAAUGAUGGUGGUAAUGAUGGUGGUAGUGAUGGUGGUAAUGAUGGUGUGAGUGAUGGUGUGAGUGAUGGUGUGGGUGAUGGUGUUAAUGAUGUGGUAGUGAUGGUGUUAAUGAGUGAGUGAUGGUGUAAAUGAUGGUGGUAAUGAUGGUGGUAGUGAUGGUGGUAAUGAUGGUGGUAGUGAUGGUGGUAGUGAUGGUGUAAAUGAUGGUGGUAAUGAUGGUGUGGGUGAUGGUGGUUAAUGAUGGUGGUAGUGAUGGUGGUAGUGAUGGUGGUAAUGAUGGUGGUAGUGAUGGUGGUAGUGAUGGUGUAAAUGAUGGUGGUAAUGAUGGUGGUAGUGAUGGUGGUAAUGAUGGUGGUAGUGAUGGUGUUAAUGAUGGUGUGGGUGAUGGUGGUAAUGAUGGUGGUAGUGAUGGUGGUAAUGAUGGUGGUAGUGAUGGUGUUAAUGAUGGUGUGGGUGAUGGUGGUAGUGAUGGUGGUAGUGAUGGUGGUAGUGAUGGUGGUAGUGAUGGUGGUAAUGAUGGUGGUAGUGAUGGUGUUAAUGAUGGUGUGGGUGAUGGUGGUAGUGAUGGUGGUAAUGAUGGUGGUAGUGAUGGUGGUAAUGAUGGUGGUAGUGAUGGUGGUAAUGAGUGAAUGAUGAUGACGUUGGAUUCGAUCGUAUCGUUACAGUUCUAUAUUUGAACCCAUGUGUUAAAUGAUGUAGUGGCAGAAAUGAGCCCGGGUUAUUCCACGAUACCGAGCGUCUGAACGCAGCCUCGCUCACAGUCAACAUCGUCUCAUUAAUCCCUGAUCGAAUGGAACUUCAGCAUGAAAUCGAACUCGCCGUCUCACACACACACUUCUGACUCAUCUUCCGACUCCAGGAUUAAACUCAUGGGCGUGCGUUAUUUUAAAGCGGUUCUGAACACGACGGAAAGUUCCGUCUCUGGACUAACGAGCAUGCGCUGCUAAUCUCCAUUAACACGAGCGUGAAGCGCGCGAGACGCUAACUCUGUCCUGUGACACAGAGCCAUGCUGAGGACAGGAGAUGCAUUAUGGGAGGUAAGGUCAACACACACAAGGCACUAAUACUCGGAGCGAUGGGAAAAAUACGCGGUGCGGGUUUCAGGAGGCUGAAGUGCACUCGGUGAAAGCAGAUCAGCUAAUUAAGCGUCCUAGAUGCACUUAGCAACCCUGCGUGGGUCUGAUUGACUCGGAUGAAGCCGCUCUCACACGCUGCCUCUCAGGACAUUGCAGGUAAUUAC
Long non-coding RNA from Ictalurus punctatus (channel catfish), 1632 nucleotides. The record is from Ensembl. NCBI's taxonomy places the organism in Eukaryota, Metazoa, Chordata, Actinopteri, Siluriformes, Ictaluridae.